AGAGUUUGAUCCUGGCUCAGGAUGAACGCUGGCGGCGUGCUUAACACAUGCAAGUCGAACGGUGAAGCAGAGCUUGCUCUGUGGAUCAGUGGCGAACGGGUGAGUAACACGUGAGCAACCUGCCCCGGACUCUGGGAUAAGCGCUGGAAACGGCGUCUAAUACUGGAUACGAGCAGCGGAGGCAUCUCCAGCUGCUGGAAAGAUUUUUUGGUCUGGGAUGGGCUCGCGGCCUAUCAGCUUGUUGGUGAGGUAAUGGCUCACCAAGGCGUCGACGGGUAGCCGGCCUGAGAGGGUGACCGGCCACACUGGGACUGAGACACGGCCCAGACUCCUACGGGAGGCAGCAGUGGGGAAUAUUGCACAAUGGGCGGAAGCCUGAUGCAGCAACGCCGCGUGAGGGACGACGGCCUUCGGGUUGUAAACCUCUUUUAGCAAGGAAGAAGCGAAAGUGACGGUACUUGCAGAAAAAGCGCCGGCUAACUACGUGCCAGCAGCCGCGGUAAUACGUAGGGCGCAAGCGUUAUCCGGAAUUAUUGGGCGUAAAGAGCUCGUAGGCGGUUUGUCGCGUCUGCUGUGAAAACCCGAGGCUCAACCUCGGGCCUGCAGUGGGUACGGGCAGACUAGAGUGCGGUAGGGGAGAUUGGAAUUCCUGGUGUAGCGGUGGAAUGCGCAGAUAUCAGGAGGAACACCGAUGGCGAAGGCAGAUCUCUGGGCCGUAACUGACGCUGAGGAGCGAAAGGGUGGGGAGCAAACAGGCUUAGAUACCCUGGUAGUCCACCCCGUAAACGUUGGGAACUAGUUGUGGGGUCCAUUCCACGGAUUCCGUGACGCAGCUAACGCAUUAAGU
RNAcentral lists this ribosomal RNA (847 nucleotides) under Microbacterium natoriense. RNAcentral describes it as "bacterial SSU rRNA". It matches the Rfam family "Bacterial small subunit ribosomal RNA", at positions 8 to 865 of the family's 1533-position model. The record is from RNAcentral. Lineage: Bacteria; Bacillati; Actinomycetota; Actinomycetes; Micrococcales; Microbacteriaceae.